This 386-nucleotide long non-coding RNA is filed under the name Physcomitrium patens. RNAcentral describes it as "long non-coding RNA (PPAT_LNC007306)". The record is from RNAcentral. Lineage: Eukaryota; Viridiplantae; Streptophyta; Bryopsida; Funariales; Funariaceae.
CAAUAACAGAUAUUGUGGCAAUUGAUUAAUUAGAUAGGCCAGAGGGAUCACAAUUUUUGUAAAGUUUUGUUAGAUAAUUUUUAGAUAGGUAUCAAUUGAGUGUUUACAAGGACACUGCACUGGUAGGAGUAGGACUAUGUAGAAUAAGUAGUUAUUUUCAGAAUGUAGAUACCUAGUGUAUAGUGUAACAGGGAUACAUAACUACUAAAAAGGUGGUUCAGUAGGUAGAAUGGAUGAAUAGUCAGAAAAAGUAGUUAUCAUCUGUAGUAUAGGAGUUGGUAUCUCGAGGUAGUAUAAGGAGGAUGGGAGAGGGGAAGAAAAUGCCAGACUGUGAAAGUUGUGAGCCGAGGGCUAGAUUGUCAGAGUCAUAAGCCGAGGGCCACAUU